Molecule: ribosomal RNA, 164 nt
Filed under: Euphorbia purpurea
Lineage: Eukaryota; Viridiplantae; Streptophyta; Magnoliopsida; Malpighiales; Euphorbiaceae
Description: 5.8S ribosomal RNA
Rfam family: 5.8S ribosomal RNA
About the family: 5.8S ribosomal RNA (5.8S rRNA) is a component of the large subunit of the eukaryotic ribosome.
Source: RNAcentral
AAAACGACUCUCGGCAACGGAUAUCUCGGCUCUCGUAUCGAUGAAGAACGCAGCGAAAUGCGAUACUUGGUGUGAAUUGCAGGAUCCCGCGAACCAUCGAGUCUUUGAACGCAAGUUGCGCCCGAAGCCUUUUGGCCGAGGGCACGUCUGCCUGGGUGUCACUC